CCUUGUACACACCGCCCGUCACACCACGAAAGCCUGUUGUACCCGAAGCUGGUACGCUAACCCGCAAGGGAGGCAGCCAUCUAAGGUAUGGCCGGUAAUUGGGGUGAAGUCGUAACAAGGUACCC
This 125-nucleotide ribosomal RNA is filed under the name uncultured bacterium. RNAcentral's name for it is "partial 16S ribosomal RNA". It matches the Rfam family "Bacterial small subunit ribosomal RNA", at positions 1379 to 1501 of the family's 1533-position model. The record is from RNAcentral.